GACGAACGCUGGCGGCGUGCCUAACACAUGCAAGUCGAACGGGGCUCUUUGGAUCGAGACUUCGGUCAAGUGAAUCUGAGCUUAGUGGCGGACGGGUGAGUAACGCGUGAGCAACCUGCCUUUCAGAGGGGGACAACAGUUGGAAACGACUGCUAAUACCGCAUAAGCGCACAGCUUCGCAUGAAGCAGUGUGAAAAACUCCGGUGGUACAAGAUGGACCCGCGUCUGAUUAGCUAGUUGGUGGGGUAACGGCUUACCAAGGCGACGAUCAGUAGCCGGUCUGAGAGGAUGAACGGCCACAUUGGAACUGAGACACGGUCCAG
Molecule: ribosomal RNA, 323 nt
Filed under: uncultured bacterium
Lineage: Bacteria
Description: bacterial SSU rRNA
Rfam family: Bacterial small subunit ribosomal RNA
Source: RNAcentral